Molecule: ribosomal RNA, 476 nt
Filed under: uncultured bacterium
Lineage: Bacteria
Description: bacterial SSU rRNA
Rfam family: Bacterial small subunit ribosomal RNA
Source: RNAcentral
AUUGAACGCUGGCGGAAUGCUUUACACAUGCAAGUCGAACGGCAGCACGGGUGCUUGCACCUGGUGGCGAGUGGCGAACGGGUGAGUAAUGCACCGGAACGUAUCCAAUAAUGGGGGAUAACGCACCGAAAGGUGUGCUAAUACCGCAUACGCCCUGAGGGGGAAAGCGGGGGAUCGUAAGACCUCGCGUUAAUGGAGCGGCCGAUGCCGGAUUAGCUAGUUGGUGAGGUAAAGGCUCACCAAGGCGACGAUCCGUAGCUGGUCUGAGAGGACGACCAGCCACACUGGAACUGAGACACGGUCCAGACUCCUACGGGAGGCAGCAGUGGGGAAUUUUGGACAAUGGGCGCAAGCCUGAUCCAGCCAUUCCGCGUGAGUGAAGAAGGCCUUCGGUUGUAAGACGUCUUUCGUCAAGGAAAGGAAAUACGUAUGGGUUAAGUACCCUACGUGCGGAUGACGGUACCGGCGAUAAGAAG